Zophobas morio is the source of this 1066-nucleotide long non-coding RNA. RefSeq lists it as uncharacterized. NCBI's taxonomy places the organism in Eukaryota, Metazoa, Arthropoda, Insecta, Coleoptera, Tenebrionidae. The record is from RefSeq and is a predicted model, not a curated record. The transcript is spliced from 7 exons.
UAUAAAUAAAAGUUACGAUUGCUGGUUUACUUUUUCUAAUUUGUUUCAGGUAUAGUCACGAGAAAAGCAAGUAUUUUUCCACCCUUUCUUGACUCAAGACGGUAAGACAAAGAGUUGAUUCUUUUUGUUUAGCUCGUUAUUGACUUGUUCGCAACGUUUUAUCUCGAUUCACUUGUGCUUCCCAUCUGGAGUGAAAAGGAAUGAUUAAAGUUUAUACUAUUGGUACUCGACGCCUGUCGAGCUUCAGUUUUAAGCAGAAAGUUUGUAAAACGGUUUUUUAUAUUUAAAGAAGAAAGAAAGAGCAAGGAAGGAUUUAACGUGUAGGUGAAUUAAUUAAGGAAGUUUCCUGAAAGGUUACUCUUGACACUAUUUAAAGAAAAGUUAUUACUCGUAAACAAUAUAAAAAAGUUUAAUAACUUCAUACUAAUAAACAAUCACCAAGGAGAGUUAGGAUAACUUAUUAAAAAGUUUACUAUCAAGCAAAAUCUUAUUCUUUUUAAAUAUUCACUGGUUAAACUUCGACUCGGUGUUUCUUGUGCUCGGCAUUGAUCUAAUGGGAAAGAGAGGUUCUUAUUAAGUUGGAGAUCGUGUUAAUCCAACUUCGGUAAGCUUAACUAUUUUAUUGACUGACUUUUUAUCAACCAUUCUGGUAACUGACCGUCUCGACAAUUCCCCGAUUUCGGGGUUCUACGGCAUACUGGCCGCCUACUCCGCUUGCCUUUAACAACUCACGCCGGAAAGGACACUAGUUAUGAUCCUGCAAAAUCUGUUUGUGUUGCAGAGUAAAUUUAUAAAACCAACACAGUCUAUAUUUCAAUUUAUUUCCUUAUUAAAACAAUUUUCUCUUCUCUGCCUCAUAAUCGCUGUAGUGCUUUCGGCUACCAGACUUUUGCCCUCUUUCGCCCCAGUACUACUCUUCUGCAGUACACAAAUAUGGCGUGGAUACAUCUGCGGUUUUCCCACGCUGCACGUGACCCCUCCGAGAGUUGCUUAGACCAUGUUCUACGGUUCUACCGAGACAAAAUAAAUUAUCAAGGCUCCCCGCUAGAAAGGCCGCCGCUACGUG